Molecule: non-coding RNA, 7374 nt
Organism: Callithrix jacchus (white-tufted-ear marmoset)
Lineage: Eukaryota; Metazoa; Chordata; Mammalia; Primates; Cebidae
Source: RefSeq, a predicted model, not a curated record
AGCUCACUUCCAACAGGGAAGAUGAAUUUGAGUCUUUUCCUGCUUCUAGGAUGGUAGAGAGCAGACUACAGCCUGAGAUCCAUCCCUAGAGUCAAGGAAACUUUUCUUUUGAGCUAUUGGCAACUUUUAAUGAUUAAGUAUACUUCUAUGAACAAAACUUGGAGCAUCUUUGUUUCUCUCUACUCAAUUUCUCCAGAAUUUGGAAACUAUCUGUGCAAAGAACUGAAUGUGUUGCAGUCCAUUGAAUUAAUCCAAAAUUCGUAUGUUGAAUUUCUCACCUUCAAUGGGAUGGUAUGAGAUGAUGGGGCCCUUGGGAAACAAUUAGAGUGAAGCCCUCAUGAAUGGGAUUAGUGGUCUUCUAAAAUGAACCUGAGAGAGUUCUUUCAUCUUCUUCCUGCCAUGUGAAGACAUAAAGAGAUGAUCAUCUAGGAACCAGGCCCUCACCAGACACAAAUGCCUGUGCCACUGACCUCGGAAGGAGAAGGAUCUGCAGAGCACGUUCUCAGGACAGCCACUCCUGAGGCUGGUGGGACUCGUGAUUGCUACUUGAAUUGGAAUAAUUAGAACGGACAUGAAAAAGGAAUGAAGACAUAUCCCUUCAAAUUUAAACCUACAACUUAAAAUGCAAUUUCAUGAGCACUGUGGGAGGCCUGAGUUUUUACUGCUGGAGCCAAUAGUGAAGAUCUAUCUGGAAAUGUGAUUACCUACAGUAAGCACAAUCACAGAUUUCGGUUGACAACUGGGAGGUCUCCUUCCUUCCUGCGAUCAUCAUCCUAACACUACAUUGAAAUGUGUGCUUCCAAAGGUCUUCACUGGUUGGAACCCAGAAAUAUCUUCACCUGCGUUUUAUUUGGUAGCAGGCUUAAUUUAAAUACAGCAGCCAGUGAAGACUUUCUGCUAUCAAAAUUAUUCAAAGCCUCUUCUAAAUGACUUCCUCCAAAAUACAGUGUUUAUCUAUCUGGUUGUUAAACACUUCAUUUAAACUUAAUGUUUAUUUCUCCCUAAAAAUAUGUCGGAUUGAGGAUUUCUGGGUCAGUAAUUUCUACAAGAUUUGAUAGAGUCACAAGUCCUGAUACUUCAUUAUUUCCCAAUGGAAACAUUUAUCAGGAAUAAUAUAAUAGAUUGUUAGUUGCCUCACUUUUUUUCUUGAAAUGAAAUGGGCAGAGCUUUGAAAAACUUAAGAAAAUUGUAGAGUUGGUUUUUCCUGUUUGUUUUUAACCUACCUCUUCUCUGCCUUUAACUCUGGGCAAUAAUGACUUUAGGUUAAGCUGCCUGAGCGCAGUAUUAACUUCCAGUUAUUCGUUCUUGGUUCUUCUUUUUUAUUUUGAGACAGAGUCUUGCUCUGCCAUCCAGGCUGGAGUGCUGUGGUGCGAUCUCGGCUCACUGCAACCUCCCAUGUUUAACCAAUUCUCCUGCCUCAGCCUCCAGAGUCAUUGGGAUUACAAGCGCCCACCACUGUGCCCAGCUAAUUUUUGUAUUUUUAGUAGAGUUGGGGUUUCAAUGUGUUGGCCAGGCUGGUCUUGAACGCCUGACCUUAAGUGAUCUGCUUGCCUCCACCUCCCAAAGUGCUGCAAUUACAAGCCUGAACCACCAUGCCUGGCCUAAUUCUUGUGCAAAAGCAACAUUUUAACAUCUUAGCAAUAGUCAAUAUCUACAUUCUUACAAAUCUGCCUUCUGGUAAACCAAGUAGCUAUAUCAAGGGCCCUGAAGCAGGACUGUGAAUUUGACUCCCAUACUUUCUUUUUCUGUUUUGUUUUUUUUUAAACGGUUAAAAACACAUAACAUGGGGCUGGGCGCGAUGGCUCAAGCCUGUAACCCCAGCACUUUGGGAGGCUGAGGUGGGUGGAUCACGAGGUCAAGAGAUCGAGACCAUCCUGGUCAGCAUGGUGAAACCCCGUCUCUACUAAAAAAAAAAAAAAAAAAAUUAGCUGGGCACGGUGGUGCGUGCCUGUAAUCCCAGCUACUCGGGAGGCUGAGGCAGGAGAAUUGCCUGAACCCAGGAGGCGGAGGUUGCGGUGAGCCGAGAUCCCAGGAGGCGGAGGUUGCGGUGAGCCGAGAUCGCGCCAUUGCACUCCAGCCUGGGUAACAAGAGCGAAACUCCGUCUCCAAAAAAAAAAAAAACCCCACAUAACAUUAAAUUUGCCAUCUUAACCAUUUGUAAGUAUACAAUUCAGUAGUGUUAAGUAUAUUCACAUUGUUGUACAACACAUGUCUGGAACGUUUUCAUCUUGCAGCACUGAAACUCUAUACGCAUUAGACACAAAUUCCCCCUCCCCUCUCCAGCCCUUGGUAACUACCGUUCUACUGUCUGUUUCUAAGAUUUUUGACUACUUUGUUUGUUUUGUUUUGAGAUGGGAGUCUUGCUGUGUUGCCCAGGCUGGAGUGCAGUGGUGCAAUCUCAGCUCAUUGCAACCUCCGAAUCCCAGGUUCAAGAAAUUCUCCUGCCUCAGCCUCCCAAGUAGCUGGGAUUACAGGCGUGAACCACUGUACCUGGCCUUGAUUUUGACUACUUUGGAUACUUCAUAAAUGGAAUCAUACAAUAUUUGUCCUUUUGUGACUAGUUUAUUUUGCUUAGCCUAUGUCCUCAAGCUUUGUCCAUGUCCCCACACUUUCUUUUUCACCACUCUUUGGUAGAAAACCACUGGGUGACCUGGGUCCAUUCCCCUCUGCUGGAGGCAUAAACUAGGAAUGGCUUUGAUGUUGCUCACAAUUGGGCUUUUCACCGAAGCAUUUUGCAGCUUUUUCUAUCUCUGUCAUGAGUGAUUGGUAAAAAUUUCUUUGAAAAUCUUCCCAUGCUAAGUCACCUCAUUCACACUCUAGAAUGAAAAACUAGGGGGACUCGAAUUUGUUCACUUAUUGAAGGCCCAGACGAGGCCCUUAAGAAUGAUCAUCCCUUGAUUAUAGAAACUCUCUCAAUAUACCUUUGAAAUAAGGAGGGUAUGGCAGAUUGUAUUUUACAAAAAAUGGCUGCAACAGCAUUUCUAGCCCUACAUGCUCUUCUUAACCCUGCCACUUCCCCAUCAACACUUGGAAUUACAUCACCUUUCCUUGAACCUGGGCAGACAUUAGUGCUUGCCUCAAUGAACAGAAUGUAGUAUAAGCGCAUAACUGCCAAGGAUAGGUCAUAAAAGAUAAUAUAACUUUUAGAUGAUUCUCUCUCUCUCUCUCUCUUUAUCUCUCUUGGACAUGAGCCUGUAGAGUGCCUAGUCACCUUGUAAGAAGUCCAGCUAUCCUAAAGUCAGACUGCUGGAGAGACCAUGUGCAAAGACUACAUAGAAAUGGAGUUGUCCAAGGAGCCAGUUCCAGCCCCCAGCUGAUUGAGUCUUUCUAGCCUGGCAGCAGACAUGUGAGUGAGCAAGCCUUCAGAUGAUGCCAGCUGUAGCCAUUGUCUGACUGUAACUUCAUGAGAAAAGCUGAGCAAGAACUGCCUAGCUGAGCCCAGUCAACCCCACAACCAUGAAAGAUAAUAAUAACGACCAUUGUUGUUUAAGCCACUAGGUUUUAGGGUGGUUUCCUCGGCAGCAAUAGAUAUUGGGAGCAGAGUGCUAGUCAUCCAUUUAUCCUAAAGAAGGUUAGAUGACUCUUGCUUCAUAAAACUUUGUUGUAUUAGUCUGUCUUUCCACUGCUGAUAAAGACAUACCAGAGACUGAGUAAUUUACAAAGAAAAAGAGGUUUAAUGGACCAACAGUUCCAUGUGGCUGGGGAGGCCUCACAAUCACGGCAGGAAGGCGAAAAGGAACAUCUUACAUGGCAGCAGGCAAAAAGAGAAUGAGAGCCAAGCAAAAGGGGAUUUCCCCUUAUAAAACCAUCAGAUCUCAUGAGACUUAUUCACUACCAUGAGAACAGUAUAGGGGAAACCAUCCCCAUGAUUCAAUUAUCUUCUACCACUCAAAAACAAAGGCAUUACAGGAGCUAUGAGAUGAGAUUUGGGUGGGGACACAGCCAAUCCAUAUCACUUGUAAAAAGUCUUGUUUGUUAACUAAGGUAUACACUACCACCUUAAAGCAACAACAUAGAAUAACCACCCUUCAGGCCUUGAUAGAGAAUAUAAACUACAAUGAUCUGCUCACAACCCUAAUUAAAGGUUGAUAUGGUUUGGCUGUGACCCCACCCAAAUCUCAUCUUAAAUUGUAGUUCCCACCUGGUCCCCACAGGUCAUGUAAGGGACCAGGUGGAGAUAAUUGAAUCACAGAGGUGGUUUCCCACAUCCUAUUCUCAUGAUAAUGAGUAAGUUCUCACCAGACCUGAUGGUUUUAUAAGAAGUUUCCCCCUUCACCGGAUGCUCAUUCUUCUCCUAGCUGCUGCCAUGUAAAGAAAGAUGUGUUUGCUUCCCCUUAUGCCAUGAUUGUAAGUUUCCUGAGGUCUCGCCAGCCAUGCUGAACUCUGAGUCAAUUAAACCUCUUUCCUUUAUAAAUUUCCUUUAUAAGUUUCUAUGAUUCUUUAUAGGAAUCCCAGGUAUUUUUUUAUAGCACUUUGGGAAGGAAGCAAUACAAAGAUCUCAUUAAGCAGGUGAUCUCACUGGAGAAGUGUUUGAGGAACUUGUACUUCUUUGGAUUUUCUAGAUGUAUUCUUUGAUUUAAUGACAAUUUUAGAAAGUUUCAGUCUCAAGCCAUAUUUCCUUGGUCUGUGAUAGAAUUGCUCUAAGUGAGUUGGGCUGUAGGUUAUGCUGCAGGUUUGAUGUUAUAAGACAGCUUUAGGAAAGCUUUGUUGCAUUUGCUAUGGGAUAUUCUUAUAAAUAUCAUUGAGGACACUGUUCACCACAUCUCUCAAUGUUCAUGAUAUAAAACUCCAUAUAGAAAUUUCUUUCAUAGCUAAAUUCCAAUAAAAGCUAAAGAAACUAAGGCCGGGAAGAGCGGCUUAUGACUGUAAUCCCAGAACUUUGGGAGGCCGAGGUGGGUGGAUCCCCUGAGAUCAGGAAUUUGAGACCAGCCUGGCCAACAUGGCGAAACCUUGUCUCUACUAAAAAUCUGAAAAUUAGUCAGGUGUGGUGGUGAGUGCCUGUAAUCCCAGCUACCUGGGAGGCUGAGGCAGAAGAAUUGCUUGAACCCAGGAAGCAGAGGUUGCAGUGAGCUGAGCAAGACAGAGUAAGACUUUAUCUAAAAAACAAAAAAAAACCUUGGGAAACUAGAGUGUUUUGCUCUGUAGUCAAGAGAAUCACAAUUAGCCUUCAUUUUUGUUUUUGCAGCAGAAAACUCAAAUCCAAAUCUGUGGCUCAGCUUAGAAAAUUAUGUGGAGCCCUAUUGCUUGUGUGUCAUUUCAUUUCACUGACUUUUUUUUUCCCUAAUGUAUGUUUCUAUGAUUCUUUAUUAUUUAUAUUUUGUAUUUGAUCAAUGUAUUAUUGUAAGCUUUUUCAAAUCCGUUUUAAAAGAGAACAUGAUACUAAUUUUUUUUUUUAAUACAGAAUCUUACUGUUACCCAGGCUGGACUGCCGUGGUGCAAUCACAGCUUACCUCAGCCUUGACCUCUUGGGCUCCAGCAUUCCUCGCACCUCAGUCUCCUAUGUAGCUGGGACCAUAGGCAAGUGCCACCAUGCCCAGCUUAUCUUUUAAUUUUCUGUAGAGAUGGGGUCUCCCUGUGUUACCCAGGCUGGUCUUGAACUCCUGGGCUCAUGUGAUCUUCCUGCCUUAGCCUCUCAAAUUGUUGGGAUUACAGGCAUGAACCACCAUAUAAAUAAGUAAAUUAUCCUUGUGAGACCUCAGAAAAUUAUAGGCCUCCCACAGGUCUGAUUUAAUGAUUCAUUCAUUUACUUUUAAAUUUCGAUUAAGGCUGGGUAUGGCAGCUCACGUCUGUAAUCCCAGCCCUUUGGGAGGCUGAGGCGGGUGUAUCCCCUGAGGUCAGCAGUUCGAGACCAGCUGGCCAACAUGAUGAAAUCCUGUCUCUACUAAAAAUAUAAAAAAUUAGCUGGGCAUGGUGGCAGGUGCCUAUAAUCCCAGCUACUCAGGAGGCUGAGGCAGGAGAAUCACUUGAACCUGAGAGUCAGAGGUUGCAAUGAGCUGAGAUCAGGCCACUGCACUAUAGCCUGGGCAGCAAGAAUGAAACUCCAUCUCAAAAAAAAAAAAAAAAAAUAUAUAUAUAUAUAUGGAUUAUGCAUCUACUUUCAACCAGGCAUUAUACUAGAAAAUGUCACAGCUGAAAAUAUUUUUUUAAAACACAGAGUUUUUGCCCUCAGAGAAACAGGAAUGUCUGAAGGUGGUCCAGAAAUGUAGUGCUCAGUAGCAGCAGGUAGUAAUUUCAAAUAGUGACAUCUUUGAGGUCCCAUAGACAUCAUAAAACCAAAUCUCUUAAUCCUUUUCAUGAAUAAGCUGGGAGGAGUAAGUGGGGAGUGGAUAUUAGAUGAAUAUGAUCUUUAGAUUCCUGGCAGAAACUUCAACAGGCUGCUAUCUCAAAUACUCUUUCCAGUUUUAGAGAAAUUGUUGAACUUGUCCCUUAGACCUGAAUCUCCAUUUCUACAGUGACCAAUUUGUUUAUCUUCUGCGAGGCCAACACUUGUAACUCUCUGCUUUGUGACCUGGCUGCUAGUUCUACUUCCAUAUUGAUUCUCUGAUUCCUACACAGGUCUUCGGUAGUCUUUUUUUUUUUUGAGACGGAGUUUUACUCUUGUUACCCAGGCUGGAGUGCAAUGGCGCGAUCUCGGCUCACUGCAACCUCUGCCUCCUGGGUUCAGGCAAUUCUCCUGCCUCAGCCUCCUGAGUAGCUGGGAUUACAGGCACACGCCACCAUGCCCAGCUAAUUUUUUUGUAUUUUUUUCGUAGAGAUGGGGUUUCACCAUGUUGACCAGGAUGGUCUUGAUCUCUUGACCUCGUGAUCCACCCGCCUCAGCCUCCCAAAGUGCUGGGAUUACAGGCGCCCAGUCCUUCUGUAGUCUUAAUAUGUCCCAGUUAGGUUAACUUUUACAAAGCCUGUCUCUUAGGACACACCAAGGUCCUCCAAACCUGGGAACUCUCAGUUUCUCCUCUUGCCAAUGGUAACAAUAAAUCUAAUCUUCUUUGUCAACCUUAAGCCUUGGAUUUCUGGCCCACGUCAUUACUGCUGAUGGUGUUUCUGUGAAAGUUUCUACUGUCCUUUGGAUUCUGUACUCUUGUCUUUUGGAGUUCUUCCUAUUAAGAUAUCUUGCCCUUUUUCUAAAAGAGCUUUUUGUUACCCACACUGCAACAUUCCUGGAAAAUGUGUUUAUUAAGUCCAUUAUUCUAAAAUCUAGAUUCUAAAGAAUAUGCUUGAUUUGCUAAUGUUCAUACUUUGUAAUUAAAUAAAAAAAUCCCUUUUGGCUUCUCUAAAUGCUGGGUUCCAGGUACUUGUAACAAAAUGCAAAUAAGCCUGCUCUUCUGUAGGCCCUUGUCUGCGGAGUUUUAAUAAACUAUACUACUAUGAGCUGAA